Molecule: ribosomal RNA, 491 nt
Filed under: uncultured bacterium
Lineage: Bacteria
Description: partial 16S ribosomal RNA
Rfam family: Bacterial small subunit ribosomal RNA
Source: RNAcentral
AGUGAACGCUGGCGGUAGGCCUAACACAUGCAAGUCGAACGGCAGCACAGUAAGAGCUUGCUCUUACGGGUGGCGAGUGGCGGACGGGUGAGGAAUACAUCGGAAUCUACUUUUUCGUGGGGGAUAACGUAGGGAAACUUACGCUAAUACCGCAUACGACCUACGGGUGAAAGCAGGGGAUCUUCGGACCUUGCGCGAUUGAAUGAGCCGAUGUCGGAUUAGCUAGUUGGCGGGGUAAAGGCCCACCAAGGCGACGAUCCGUAGCUCGUCUGAGAGGUGAUCAGCCACACUGGAACUGAGACACGGUCCAGACUCCUACGGGAGGCAGCAGUGGGGAAUAUUGGACAAUGGGCGCAAGCCUGAUCCAGCCAUACCGCGUGGGUGAAGAAGGCCUUCGGGUUGUAAAGCCCUUUUGUUGGGAAAGAAAAGCAGCAGGUUAAUACCCCGCUGUUCUGACGGUACCCAAAGAAUAAGCACCGGCUAACUUCGUG